Molecule: ribosomal RNA, 434 nt
Filed under: uncultured bacterium
Lineage: Bacteria
Description: partial 16S ribosomal RNA
Rfam family: Bacterial small subunit ribosomal RNA
Source: RNAcentral
CGGUAAUACGUAUGGGGCAAGCGUUAUCCGGAUUUACUGGGCGUAAAGGGAGCGUAGGCGGCAAGGCAAGUCAGAUGUGAAAGACCGGGGCUCAACUCCGGGGUUGCAUUUGAAACUGUCUAGCUAGAGUGUCGGAGAGGUAAGCGGAAUUCCUGGUGUAGUGGUGAAAUGCGUAGAUAUUAGGAGGAACAUCUGUGGCGAAGGCGGCUUACUGGACGAUAACUGACGCUGANGCUCGAAAGCGUGGGGAGCAAACAGGAUUAGAUACCCUGGUAGUCCACGCGGUAAACGAUGAAUACUAGGUGUGGGGNUAGCAAAGCUAUUCCGUGCCCGCAGCAAACGCAAUAAGUAUUCCGCCUGGGGAGUACGUUCGCAAGANUGAAACUCAANGAAUUGACGGGNACCNCNCAANCGGUGGANCAUGUGGUUUAUUC